Molecule: long non-coding RNA, 1264 nt
Filed under: Felis catus (domestic cat)
Lineage: Eukaryota; Metazoa; Chordata; Mammalia; Carnivora; Felidae
Description: lncRNA (ENSFCAG00000052503.1)
Source: RNAcentral
GAGACGAUAUGUUUACAGACAUUUAAAUGUUUUUCUCCAUUUGUCCUAGCACAUUUGCUAAAUAAAUAUAUAUUAAUAUAGACAACUAAAAUAUAUACAUACUUUUGGGUUUUUAAAAUUUUUUUAAUGUUUAUUCGUUUUUGAGGGGGAAAGAGGAUCUGAAGCAUGUUCUGAACUAACAGCAGUGAGCUAGAUGUGGGGCUCAAACCCACAAACCAUGAGAUUAUGACCUGAGCCAAAGUUGGAUGCUCAAAAGACUGAGCCACCCAGGUGCCCCAUACAUAUUUUUGGACUUGAGUUGGCCUAUGUUCAUAUGCACAUGCUGCCUCCAUUCAUUCCUAUGGAAGGACAGCGGAGGAAUCAAAUCAGCGAGGACAUGAGAACUGAGGAAGAGAGUGAAAAAUGUCAGAAAAGUUCCAGAAGAUGAAAACUGGACACAUAAGUAGCAUCAAAAGUAUGCUUUCGCUUUUUCACUCAGGUAAGUGCUGUGUCAGGAUUCACAGCUAAUGAGUGAUCUUUCCUCUAGCUUUAGGGAUGCCUGAGUAGUUGGCCCUGAGAUAAAUCCAGGUAAGAAAGUACAGGAGUAUUCUGUCCCCGAAGCCCUGUUGAGUUUGCUUUAUACCAGACUAAGCUCCUGUACUUGCCUGUGGCAAUUAUUUAUCAUGUAACCUAUUAUUGAUGAGUACCCUGAAGUUGAUAAAUAAGCUGUAAUUAAGAGGUAAUAUGCAGCUGAUGAGAUGUAGUUUCACCGAGGAAUGAGAGCCAGUCAAGUACCCCAGAGAGUGCUGCCUGACUAAUGAGGUAUAAAGGAAGACACCACAGAGCACGGCUCUCUCCAGCCUCAUCUCACAUGACUACUGGGAUCCAAUGGAGAAUGACUGGAGCACUUGCAAUCUGCUCCUGGGAAUCAUGAGACAUCUGCUAGCCCUUGCUAUGUAUGAUCUUCUGCUUGUCCUGUACUCUUUUUAAACAAAGCAAAUUUGGUCUUGGGUGAAUGCCAUUGUGUCUUCUAAAAUUUAUUGUUAAAGUAACCUAAAACCAUUGUGGCUAGUCAAGCAGAAUUAAUGUUAAAGGCUGAAAAAAGGAAAGGGGAGCAGAGAGGCAAAUUUGUGCCAUAAAACAUCAGAAAGUCCCAGGAAUCGGAAACACUGUCUUUUGGGAGUAAUAUAUAUAUAUAUAUAUAUAUUAUAUAUAUAUAUAUAUAGGCAAAUGCAUAUAUCCAGAAAGGAAACCUAUAGCCUUUCUCUCCAAGUAAGAAAAGCAG